CAGCUCAAGCUUAAUUCUGGGCCAAAUUCACCAGCCUUGCUCUGGUGCCCGGCAGCCCGGCCCAACAAUGGAAUCCGACCGAUGAUUCUGGUCGCUCGCUGCUUCGCUUGCUCGCGGGCCUCGCGGCCACAUCCAUCAAACCACGGGAAAGAUCCGGCCGCGCGCUCCUUUUCUAGCGCACGUUAGAAGCUUCCAAAGAAAAAAAAAUCCCACGCCUCCAAACGCCCAAAAUGCAUCUCCCCUCGCCUUCCUCUAGUACCUUCCAGAAUGUUCCGUUUCCCUCCUAUAAAUUACAAAAUCCCACCUUCUUCUCCCGCCAAAAGCACGCCGAUGGACUACUCGACGGUGAAGCAGGAGGAGGUGGAGGUGGUGGUGCUGGAUGGAGAGGAGGAGGCGGCGGCGGCGGCGGCGCCAGUGCCGUUGCCGGCGGCGAUGGGGGUGGGGGCGGCGGUGGCGCCGUUCCUGGUGAAGACGUUCGAGAUGGUGGAGGACCCGGCGACGGACGCGGUGGUGUCGUGGGGCGGCGCGGCGAGGAACAGCUUCGUGGUGUGGGAUCCCCACGCCUUCGCCGCCGGCCUCCUCCCGCUCCACUUCAAGCACGCCAACUUCUCCAGCUUCCUCCGCCAGCUCAACACCUACGGAUUCCGGAAGGUGAGCGCCGACAGGUGGGAGUUCGCCAACGAGGACUUCCUCGGCGGGCAGCGCCACCUCCUCGCCAACAUCCGCCGCCGCCGCCGCGGCGCCGGCACGGGCUCGACGACGCCGCGUGCUGUGAACUGCGGCGGCGGCGGCGGCGAGGGGGAGGUGGAGAGGCUGAGGAGGGACAAGGAGGCGCUGGCGAGGGAGCUGGCGCGGCUGCGGCGGCAGCAGCAGGAGGCCCGCGCGCAGCUGCUCGACAUGGAGCGCCGGGUGCGGGGCACCGAGCGGCGGCAGGAGCAGUGCACGGAGUUCCUCGCGCGGGCGCUCAGGAGCCCCGACGUCCUCGACAACAUCGCGCGCCGCCACGCCGCGGCGGUCGAACGAAAGAAGCGGCGGAUGCUCGCCGCCGCCGCGGACGACGACGGCCUCACCUUCGAGGCGCUGGCGCUGGCCGCGGCGGCCGACACCAGCCAUAGCACGGGCGGCGCGGUGACCACGGACAUGAUAUGGUACGAGCUGCUCGGCGAGGAGCAGGCGGAGAUCGACAUCGAGGUGGACCAGCUCGUCGCCUCCGCCUCCGCCGCCGCCGACACGGCAUCGGAGGCGGAGCCAUGGGAGGAGAUGGGAGAGGAGGAGGUGCAGGAGCUGGUGCAGCAGAUCGAUUGCUUGGCCUCGCCGAGUUCUUGAUGCAUGGCUUGCAUUAGGUAGAUCCAGUGAUGGCUUAAUUAGGAGUAUAAUGGAAGGAAUGCAGGAAGUGGAUGGAUGUGGUAGCUAAUCUGCUUCAUGGAUUGAUGUAUAAGAGGAAUGCAAUGGAUGAUUGAUUAUUCAUCUCUAGGAAACACCUGGUGAUAACGAACAAUGGCGCUCAUGCAGCCUUUUCAUAAGACUUGUCUGUUUCAUCUUCAAAGGGCCACAGCAGGCACACAGUCCAUUUCACUGAAGAUCGACAGCCAAGAAGUUGUCUCUCAUGAACAGGAUCCAACAUCAGUAUCGCUCAGAUUUGUUAUUCUACUAUUCAAUGUUCUAGCUUAUUUCAUGGAACAGUUUCUUAUCUUGAUUCUUGAUUACGACAGGUU
This is an RNA transcript of Oryza sativa Japonica Group (Japanese rice), 1715 nucleotides long. It is a transcript of the gene named putative heat stress transcription factor A-6a, with no coding region annotated. The record is from RefSeq and is marked inferred. NCBI's taxonomy places the organism in Eukaryota, Viridiplantae, Streptophyta, Magnoliopsida, Poales, Poaceae.